AGUGAACGCUGGCGGUAGGCCUAACACAUGCAAGUCGAACGGCAGCACAGUAAGAGCUUGCUCUUACGGGUGGCGAGUGGCGGACGGGUGAGGAAUACAUCGGAAUCUACUUUUUCGUGGGGGAUAACGUAGGGAAACUUACGCUAAUACCGCAUACGACCUACGGGUGAAAGCAGGGGAUCUUCGGACCUUGCGCGAUUGAAUGAGCCGAUGUCGGAUUAGCUAGUUGGCGGGGUAAAGGCCCACCAAGGCGACGAUCCGUAGCUGGUCUGAGAGGAUGAUCAGCCACACUGGAACUGAGACAGGGUCCAGACUCCUACGGGAGGCAGCAGUGGGGAAUAUUGGACAAUGGGCGCAAGCCUGAUCCAGCCAUACCGCGUGGGUGAAGAAGGCCUUCGGGUUGUAAAGCCCUUUUGUUGGGAAAGAAAAGCAGCAGGUUAAUACCCCGCUGUUCUGACGGUACCCAAAGAAUAAGCGCCGGCUAACUUCGUG
Molecule: ribosomal RNA, 492 nt
Filed under: uncultured bacterium
Lineage: Bacteria
Description: partial 16S ribosomal RNA
Rfam family: Bacterial small subunit ribosomal RNA
Source: RNAcentral